GACGAACGCUGGCGGCGUGCCUAAUACAUGCAAGUUGAGCGCUGAAGGUUGGUACUUGUACCGACUGGAUGAGCAGCGAACGGGGGAGUAACGCGUGGGGAAUCUGCCUUUGAGCGGGGGACAACAUUUGGAAACGAAUGCUAAUACCGCAUAAAAACUUUAAACACAAGUUUUAAGUUUGAAAGAUGCAAUUGCAUCACUCAAAGAUGAUCCCGCGUUGUAUUAGCUAGUUGGUGGGGUAAAGGCUCACCAAGGCGAUGAUACAUAGCCGACCUGAGAGGAUGAUCAGCCACACUGGAACUGAGACACGGCCCAAACUCCUACGGGAGGCAGCAGUGGGGAAUCUUGCACAAUGGGCGAAAGCCUGACGCAGCCACGCCGCGUGGAUGAAGAAGGUCUUCGGGUUGUAAAAUUCUUUUGGCGGGGAGGAAGGUAGUAGAGAGAAUACAGUUCCUCAUUUACGGUACCCGCAGAAGAAGCACCGGCUAACUCCGGG
RNAcentral lists this ribosomal RNA (496 nucleotides) under uncultured bacterium. RNAcentral describes it as "partial 16S ribosomal RNA". It matches the Rfam family "Bacterial small subunit ribosomal RNA", at positions 28 to 507 of the family's 1533-position model. The record is from RNAcentral.